CAGAAAUGUUAAUAAUUUACUACAUGAUGGGCCAUACUCUGUGAUUCAGAAGUACUUAUUUAGUAAUAGGUUUGUAUUUGGUAGGAAAGCUUAGUAGAUAAUUCUUUUGAUGUACACUUUUAUCUGAAAUGAGAACCGACAGCAUGUUUUUGGGCUAUGCCAACACAUCUUGCCAAAGCCUGGUUUGGAUGUUAAAUAUUCAAAGCCCACACAUUGCUAUGUGGUUCCAUUUAGCCAAGAACUUUCCUGAGACAUCAAGGGAAAUCUCCUGGACAGGCACGGGAUUUGGUCUUCGGUGGGGCCUGAAAUUCUGUACUGACAGCAAGCUCCCAGGUAACACUGAUGUUGAGGGUCCAUGGACCCCACCAGGGCAGCAAGUCCCCAUGCUGAUCGUCACAGGGUUGCAGUCUAGGUGGGAAGACAAGAGACACACAUGUAAGCAGUUAAGCUGUGUUACAGAGCCAAGGAUGUUCAUGUCAUGAAAUGAGCUGAGAUUUGCAUUCCUGAGCUGACGGAAGAAGAUAAAACAUAAGACAAAGACCUCCCAAAUCAAUUUGACAAGUAUUCAUCAAGCAAGAUUUCAAAACGUUUAAGAAAGAAAAUCUCUUAGACAAAAU
Bubalus bubalis (water buffalo) is the source of this 617-nucleotide long non-coding RNA. RefSeq lists it as uncharacterized. NCBI's taxonomy places the organism in Eukaryota, Metazoa, Chordata, Mammalia, Artiodactyla, Bovidae. The record is from RefSeq and is a predicted model, not a curated record. The transcript has 5 exons.